This is a non-coding RNA of Pelobates cultripes (western spadefoot toad), 98 nucleotides long. The record is from the annotation of a GenBank genome assembly. NCBI's taxonomy places the organism in Eukaryota, Metazoa, Chordata, Amphibia, Anura, Pelobatidae.
CUCUUCACUUGAAAUUCGGUGGAGUAUAUGGGGAGAACCAUUGGAGUUUUUCUUGUGUUCUUUCUCCCCAUAUGCUCCACCGAAUUUCAAGUGAAGAG